Molecule: long non-coding RNA, 7406 nt
Organism: Bos taurus (domestic cattle)
Lineage: Eukaryota; Metazoa; Chordata; Mammalia; Artiodactyla; Bovidae
Source: Ensembl
GCCUACACAGUCUGUGGAUAUUAAUAAACUACCUGGCUCAUCUAAAUGUUAAAAUAUCUUCUUUUCUCUCUCUCCAGGGAUCUCCUACUUUUAAAUAGUCUCCUCUUAAAUUCAAGUCAGUUAAUAAAAUAAGGAAACACUGACCUCCAAAAAUGGCCUAGGGGAAAUCACCCUUUACACUGCACUAGGCAAUGGGAAGGAGGGGUAACAUCUACACACCCAGCACGGAGUAGACCGAGGAGGAGCAAACAGAGGCAAGCUGAAAUCAUGUGGAAGAAAUCUCCAAUUUUGUUUUCAAUUUUUUAUUGUGAUAAAACAUACAUACCAUUUGCCAUUUUAACCAUUUUUAAUCACAUGGUUCAGGGUACAUGAAGGUUCAGGUACAUGAAAUAUAUUAACAAUAUUGAGCAACCAUCACCACUGUUCAUUUCCAGAACUUUUCAUUAUCCCAAACAGAAGCUCAGGAUGGAUCAAAGUAUAAUACCUAUUCCUCUUCCCCUUGCUUCUGGUAAUGUCUAUUCUCCUUUUCUUCUCUAUGAAUUUGCCUAUUUCAGGGACCUCACAUAAGUAGGAACAUGUAAUAUCUGCCCUUUUGUGUCUGGCUUAUUUCACUCAGCAUGUUUCCAAGGCUCAACUCUGUUGUAGCAUGUAUUGGAAUUUCAUUCCUGUUUAUGGUUGAAUAAUAUUCCACUGUAUGUACAGACCACAUUGUUUAUCCAUUCAUCUGUGAAUGGACAUCUGGCCUUUUUUCACCUUUUAGAUAUUCUAAAUAAUAUCAGUAUAAACACUGGUAUACAAGUAUCUGUUUGAGUCCCUGCUUUCAGUUAUUUGGGGUACACACUAGGAAUGGAAUUGCUAGGUGAUUCUAUAUUUAACUUUUUGAGAAACCACAAAACUAUUUUCCACAGCAGCUGUACCUUUGGACAUUCCCAACAGCAAUAUAUUAGUGUUCCAAUUCAACAUAUUCAAGUAUUCUCUGAUUCAUUAAUUCAGAUUAACAUUUACCUUUAUUACCCUAAAUUGGAUUUUUUUUUCCUGGUACAAGAAAAACAGAAAAAUGAGGAACAGUAAUAUCUAAUGACUUUUAACAUUUUUCUCUUAAGUGACUUAAAUAAUAUAAAAUGUGUUUUUAAUUUUUUUUCAAUAUAAGAUAAAAAGGAGCAUAAUACCCUAAAAGCAUAUUGAGGAUCCUACAUUUACAACCUGUACCAUAAAAACUGGUCAGUCUGAACUCUAAAAAGUCAAGUAUUUGAAAACCUCAUGUCUGAAUAAGUCGAUAUAAAUAUUUUUAAAUAUUUUUUAAAGAAAUUUACUUUUCUUGGGGCAGUUCACAAAAUACCUGGAACUAAGCUGUCCAGGAAGGCCUUGCUUUAGUAAAAGUAGAAGGGAAAGAUUUAUAAUAAACUUACCUAAAUACCACUGGCAGGCUUUCCACAACUUUGCCCAAUCCCAUAUGGAGGAAGAGAUGGGCAGUUAAAAGCAAUAAUGAUGUUUUUAAGCCUUUAACACCUGCUCUCACCAAUCUGCCAUCAAGUGCUUACAGGAGGAGACAACAAGUAGCAAAACAAAUAACAAUAGAAAACAUUCAAAGCAAAUCAACAGGCAUAUCUGGGACUCUAUUGGUGGGAGUGGGAUGAGAGAUGGGGAGGUGGACAUUUGCUUACUGUUAUGACUUAUUUUGUAUACAAAAAUAUACUUCUAACUAUUCCUAGUUCAUGUGACAGUACUGAAAAAAUUGCCGUUUAUUUCAUGGCAGUCCCACACCUCUAUGAAAAAGCCCAGUAGUAGAACUAUUUUCAACCCAUACUGCAGUUUUACAUUGUUUUCAAGUAAAUUGAUUUUUCCAAGGUGCUUAAAGUGGUUUGUUCUCCCAAUUAAGUAAAUAUUCCUCUUAUGAUCUAUUUAAAUUUGUUACAGUAAAACCUUUUCAUAUAGAGUAGUAAGCCAAACUUUAUCUUAGACUUGCCUGGAUAAUUGCAAAUUCCUAAUUAGUUACAUCCAGAACAAUGAAUUUAUUUUUAACAGAGACCCUCUCCCACCAGCUGUGGAGAAACUGACUGAGCCCCUUAAGAAUAAAUUAAAUCGUGUUAUUUCCUGGGAUUUUAGAAUCUUCCAUUAUGUCUCAAACAUACUACAUUUGCUCAUGUAUGAAGACAAUUUUCCAGAUAGUUAUUUUAACAGAAAGCUUUUCAUAAUUGAACACUUUGAGUCUGUAUUAUAUCAACUUAAUUUAAACAAAUUUUUCUGAUUGGUUGCCUUUAUAAAAAAAAGUUCAUCUUCCAAAAAGUUAAAACAAGGUUUGUAUCAAAAGCCUUUAAUUCUUAUAUAAAUUUAGUUUUAAACAUAGCCUAUAGGUGCUCCAAUUGUUAACAUUUUUCAGAUUUCAGAUAGGAGCAAAGGACUAAAUUGUCACAUCCUGCCCUAGGAGUCUGGUGGCAAACACAGCUCCCUCUACAACAUCUCAAAAAUAUGAGCAAAAGACCCCUGAAGUAAACAGAAAAAUGUCUUGAAUUUGCAAAAAAAGUCAGAACAGCAUAGAAUAUUUCAUUAAGCACCUAGUUUAGAACUCAAUAACUGCCUCCUGAGUAAUAAACAAGUAAAUGAAAUAAAAUUACAUAAUUAUAUUUUAAACUCAAACAUAAUCAUUUAAUACAAGACACAUUUUAAACAGAAACUUACUAGAAUGGCAAAUUAUGCUAGCUUUGGCUCAACACCAUUAAAAUCUUCUCCCUCCAACUAUAUGAAAACUGACAAGUAGUAGUAAUAUUACACAAACAAAAGAUGAGAGGAGCCAGUGACUGAACCGACGGUGAGUUCUGGCAAGGACCUUUCAUUAGCCAAUGAAAUUAUAAUCCAGGUGUUUUUAUAUCUCAACUAGGGACCAAUAAAAGAGAUUCAAGGAUUGAUACAUUUUUAAAUUAAGAAACUUCCCCACCUGUAAUAGAUGAUCACUAUAGUCUUAGCUUACUGGAUUUAUUCUUGGUGGUUUAAAAACCUCCCAACUUCCCCUCUCCUCUAUGGGUUCCAACCCCUACCCCCACAAACCUCUGGUCUCCAGAGACAGAUCCUUGACUCUAAACCCACACCAUAAACAAUCCCCCUCUGGGUAAGCUUGUGACUAGGGACCUGCUUCUCAUUGGCUGUACCUUGCAAACAGUUCAAGUACGUGCGUGCUCAGUCCAACUCUUCGCAACCCCAUGAACUGCAGCCCUCCAGGCUGCAGUCCAUGGGGUCACUAAGAGUCGGACACGACUGAGCGACUUCCCUUUCACUUUUCACUUUCAUGCAUUGGAGAAGGAAAUGGCAACCCACUCCAGUGUUCUUGCCUGGAGAAUCCCAGGGACGGGGGAGCCUGGUGGGCUGCCGUCUCUGGGGUCACACAGAGUCAGACAUGACUGAAGCAACUUAGCAGCAGCAGCAGCAAGAUACCAUACAGGGACUGAACCCCAUGCCUCUAUCAUUCAAUUUUGGAAAUUCCUCUAGGAGACUGUCGUUCUUCCCCUCCACCUUAAGAAUGAUUCUGAAUCAAGCUGACUGUCUUGUCCACUUCAGCAGUGCCAACCAGCUAUGGACCACAUGUAAGGAAAUACAACUUUUGAGAGGUCACAAAUCAACUACGGCAUUAGGAAUAUGGAGAAAAUAAAAUUUCAAUCUUUAGAUUGAAAUUCAUCACAAAUAAAAAAAAUGAAUCAUUUUUCAAAGUGUCCAAACACGAUUUGGAGGUCUCUGAAAACAUGCAAACUAAUUCCCUAAGAACAACUCAGUUUUUAAACUUUGCAAUGUAAUAAACUAUGGAGUUUGUGCAAGGCUUUGCUAAACACUGUUCAAUACACUGACUCAUAUUAACCCCUUGUGACAACCACUUGAAAAAUGGUACAGGUAAGAUGUUUUCUCCUUAUACUAAAAUGAAGAAACAGACUAACAGAGUUUCAGAAAUCUAUCAAGGACACACAGCUAAGAAGUAAAUUAAGUCCCUGACAGACUAUUCUGAUUUCAAACUGAUACUCAGAUGUGGCCCUCACUAGGGGAUAUAAGAUUUGGGAGGCCCAUGAGAUCUCUAAUCUUUGCCUAUCAUUUCAAUAUCUUUUAAAUUAUGUCUCAUUUGUAUUAAGCACCUUGAUGUCCAAAAUAUGGAACUAUGCAUCCUGAGUUAAAUCAUGUUUCCAGUAUUUGUCACGAUCACAAGAACACCAUAAUCCUAUUUAUAACAUGAUUCUUAUGUUGGUUCUUUGACAAUAACUAUGAUCCCAAUAGUCAGGAAAGGGUAUAGAAAGGUUUUUCAGCUAUCUGAAUGGUCUAAUUAACUGAUGCCUCACCUUUAGUUGAAUUUACAAUUUUCAGAGAUGGAGGCCACACAAUUCACACAACACUAAAAUAAUAUAGAACAAUUUAAAGCUGACUUACUAGUGUCUUUCAGAAUCACAUUAAUACUCUAGGGUCAGGAUUAUGAACUGCAAUUAUCCCUGAGCAAUACAAUAACUAUGAAAGAUAGAGCAGCUUCAGAUACAUUUAUAACGAAUCUAGAAGUUACUGUUUUUAAAAUUCUAAUAAAAGAUUAUUUUGUCAUCUGUCUUUUCCUGAAAGCAGUAGGCAAAAAAAAAAAAAAAAAAGGAAAGAAAAAGGUAUUGGGUUAUUGGAUAUUUAUGGAUGAAAUCCAGAUAAAUGAAUGCUUAUUUUAACAUGAGUUGGAAUUUUCACUUUCAUAUAUUAAUAAAAUAAAGUUGUUGAAAUUCCUUCUACCAAAUAAAUUCUAAAAUGCAAAAGAUUUAAAUUAAAUCCACUUAUCAGAAAACUAUUUGACCAUAUGCCACCAAGAGAAUCUUCCUUUGGUAGUAAAGCAAUGAUUUUAAUUCUUCAGAUUAAUCAUGCAGCUAGAUGAGGAAAGUGAAUGCUGAUUUGGUUAUAUUAUUUACCUGAAUGAACACAUUUGAAAAAAAUCACCCAAUGAACAGGUAAAUGGAUACUGGGAGUAGUUUUUUUCAACUUAUUAGUGAUUUUUUCAUACCAUUCCCUACUUAUACUCCUUUAUUAUACUGAAAAUAACCAACAAUUCCUAUAAGCAGUUAUUUCAAUCAAACAGAAAAUGUCAUUUAAAGUUUUUGUCUAUCAGUUUUUACUAUGACAGGCAAGUAUUUUUAAAACAAUUAUUUGCUUGUUUUUGAGCUACAGGUAAUCUGGUAUUUGAAUUCCACUUAACAACUAAAUCUAAGCAUCUUCUGGUGGUAUGGAAGAAAGCAAACUGAACUAGGCAAUCUUAAAAAGGAAUGGGAUCCAGUUAAACAUAAAUAGAUUUGAGAGAAAGUUCCUCUUUACAGUCCCCAAAAUCGGGGUACCUAACCACUAGCCACAAGUAGCAGUUUAAAAUAAUUAAAAGUAAAUACAAUUUAAAAUGUAGUUCUUCUACGAACAGGCCACAUUUUAAAUGGUACAACAGUUACACGUGCCUGGUGACUGCCAUACUGGACAGCAGAGAUAUAAAACCAAUUUCAUCACCAAAGAAAAUUCUAUGUGAUCUUGUGCAAGUUGCUAAAUUUCUAUGAACCUCAAUGCCUUGUCUAUAAAAUGUCCUUAACAUCACCUAAAUUGAAAGACUAUUAGAAUUUUAAUGAGAUAAUGUUAAAAAAAAAAAAACAACCCACCACUAUAUGCAGUACUUAGUACACAUUAGAUAUCCAAAAGAGUAAUUAUUAAUCUAGUAUUGCAUUUUAAUCUAAAAUCACAAACACGGAACAAGUCAUUCCCCCUCACUGGGCCUCAUUUUCCUAAAACUGAAAAGUUGGGAGGUUCUUCAGGUUUUCAGUUCUAAGGACACUAUCAAAUGUCGCCACUUUAAAUGAAAUGUUAGGCAAAACUCCUACUGAGUAAACUACUACCUAGGCUCCUAGAGCCAGCUUCCUAACUGAUCCCAACCAUUCCUCCAGAAACCCCAGAAGACUGACUCUCCAAUAUAGCCCAUGGUCUGACGUGAGCUAUUUAUAAAGUCUGUCUUAAAAGGUUACUGGAAUAUCUUUCUGAAAUUGUACAUACUGUAAUUAGAAGCUACAACCUCCUAUCCCAUGAUGAUAUCUUACAGUUUUAAGAUCUCUUUUAAAAUGAACACUAUCUUUAUGUAGAAUUCUUUUCUCUUAGGAGCAUAUAAACCAAAACAUUUUAAAAGCGCCUAGGAAUUUAAGUACCAUUUUUUAGUGACUUUUUCUUUCUACCAAGUAUGCCUCAUUCUUGGCCAGCUUGUGCGUGACCCUCUCGUGUCUAAACAAAGUGAGAAUUUCCGUAUGGUGGAGGGAGGCGAGUGACCUUACAGGUGAGGUUCCUUUGCAGGACCAGAAAGCAAGCCCAAAGACUUUACCGUCAUUAACAGCCGCUCCCGGAGAGCCAGGAAAUUUACAAAACGCCGGUUCCACAGAGGCCGCUUCCAACCAGGGGAAACCACUGGCCCCCAUACAAGGCACAAAACCAGGGCUACAGGCUGCUCUUGGCGUGGCUGCAUGGGCUCUUCCCCCGGGCGUAGUCCCGGCCCCGUGUCACAGCUCUAACUUGAGAGUAAAGAGCAGCUCAGGCAGUAGAACAGAGCAUUUUUGCCAGAGGCCAGAAGCCUCAAAAAAAAAAAAAAGUGUUAUUCCAGAGCAGAUUCCUUUUCUUCCGGGUCUGUCUGCUCCCUCUGACUCUUUGCCCACAACCACCGUGCCUCCCCUUUCCCAAUGCCCCACCUCUCUCCACAUUAAAAAAAAGAAGAAAAAAAAAAAGGUGGCGUAUUCCCUCUUCCUUAGCUUUCCCUACGAGAGCCUGGAAACUGGAGGAAAUUCAAAUCAAAUUAACUGCACAUCAAAAAAUAAACAGACAAGCAAUCAAGGGGGGUGCCCACCCAACAAAAGACCUCGCCCGUUCCAAAAUAUGAUUAAGCCUGGGUGGAAGAGGGGGAGGGAGACUAGAAACCAACAAGGAUGGAGAGAUCAACGUAUGAAUCUGCGGCCCCGGCUUCGGCCCACUGCGGCCAAAUUCCAAAUCUUGUUUCAAGAACGUGCUGGACUGAUGAGAAAAAAAUUAAAAGUUUUAACUUUUAAGGCAGUCCGCAAACGGUACUGUCUAGAUAAAAUGCCAUCGCUUCCCUUAGUCAAAGAUAGAAGGGUGGGAGUUGAGAUUCGAAAAGCUCCAACUCCAACCGCGCACUCCUGGAAGCCUCCCCGCCAACGGCGCCGCCGGGCGGCCCUGCCCCGUCUCCGGGGACAUCAGGCCCGGGUGCUCGGGCUCUUACGGGGCGCGGGGACCGGACCUUUGGGAAAGUUCGCGGGCACAGCCCGAGGCCCCACUUUCCGCCCGGAGUGACAAGCCCUUCCCACGCCGGCCGGCCCCCGCCCAGCCGCGGGCACCAGACGGUCCGCGCGGCCCCUCCCGGCCGCCUCGGGGCG